Long non-coding RNA from Oncorhynchus tshawytscha (Chinook salmon), 400 nucleotides. The record is from Ensembl. NCBI's taxonomy places the organism in Eukaryota, Metazoa, Chordata, Actinopteri, Salmoniformes, Salmonidae.
AGACGAUGUCCAUAAAUUAGACAACAAUACUGAACAGUUGUAGCCCGUUGGUAGUGGUAGGCUUCUGGCUGUGAUCUCUGACCACUGUAACAGUGAAUAGUGGCAAUUUACCCGCGGUGUAUAGGCUUGUUUACUAGGCUAACUAGUGCAUUGGGGUGGGCUAUGUGCAGCAUGGGCAUACAGGAAACCACUCUAGCCGCUUAACUCACCUUGGCCACGAGCUCUAUAGUUUACAGCUAUUGCAUCACCUACAAAGCAUCAACUGAAUGUUGAAUGUCAGGAGCAGAGCAAUUCUACCAGGAGCAGAGCAACCUCAGUGAUGGAAACCACAGAAGAGGGGAAGCUCAACAAUGUGGAACAUCUGACACUGAUGGACUUCCUUCAAAACCUAACUGAGAAG